Long non-coding RNA from Cebus imitator (Panamanian white-faced capuchin), 7045 nucleotides. RefSeq lists it as uncharacterized. The transcript is spliced from 3 exons. Lineage: Eukaryota; Metazoa; Chordata; Mammalia; Primates; Cebidae. The record is from RefSeq and is a predicted model, not a curated record.
UCACUCCAGCCUGGGCGAGAGAGUAAGGCUCCGUCUUGAAAACAAAAACAAAAUGAAAAAGAGCUCAUGAUGCACACAAGUAAGUCUGAACUUCGUUUUGCAGAGGACGGGAGCCUCAGUUUCCCCAUAUGUGCAAAUGGAGAUAUGACCUUGCCAGGCUGUUGUGAUGGUUAUGAGAGACACUUGAUGUGCAAAGCACAAAAAGCAGGCACACAAGAAAGGCUGGCUCACCACUUCAUUCCAAGAUUUCUGGUCCACAGCUGAGCUGUUCCCUGGCCUGGGUUUAGUGACUGAGCACCGGGUGCCCACACCAAGGGCUUCCCACCCUGCUUUCACCCCUGCAGAGAACGUGUUUAGCCCACCUCGGUACCACUGCCUCCCGCCCCGCUGCAGAGCGCAGCCAGCAAAGCUGCGUAUUUUACAUUUUCAAUUCUCUUAUUUUAGAAAGUUUAACACCAAAUGGCAAAUGAAUGCAAAUUACACUUCAAUUGCACAAUUAAAGCCGGAAAUGUUGUCUACAGGUUCCUUCAGUAAUCCCAGCCACUCCUCUUGUGCUUAUGUAUCACGGUCCCCAGAGGCUGGCAAAAAGCCCACAGCCCUGCCUGGGACGACACUGAGUGUCCCUGUGCGCACAAACACACAGCAGCCCUCCAGUCCUUAAAUAAAGCAGGACCCGGGAACAGCAUCCCCAUCUUCCUUUAGCCUCCUAGACGUGAGGAGAAGGCGCCACCCAGAUGGAGGGCAAGGAACAGCUUGACGUGCGGCCUGGGGUGUCGGGAGACGGCUGACACCCGGCUUCUGUGCCCAUCCAGUCUAGCUGCUGAUUGCUCCCAGCUGCCAGCAAACCUGACUAAGACUAGGGGGUGACCUUGAGGCUCUGGAGCAACAAUCUUGAUGGGGACCUUGGUCAGGACUCUGCCUCUGCCUGGGGUGGGAAGAGAGGCGCUGGUGAGAGGAGGGCCCUGGGACCCAGCAACAGAGACCAAGGGGAGCUGCCCUUCAGUUGCACCUGGCUUUCAGCCCCUGUGCUGGGCCAGGGUUUUGGUGCUCUGGCUACCUGGAUACCCUGCAACCCUUGGUGUGUGGGCAGAAACCUGUCGACGAGGAUAAGGUGAUCUCAGUGGCCUGGCUGUCUGUGUGUCCCUCUCAAGAGCUGAAGACACACUGCCAGGCCACUCCUGCAUCAGCCUCUAGGAAAACAGACCUAGUCCUCCUUCCAGUGAGCAGGCUGGCUGGAGCCGGCAGUCCCGUCUCUGAGGAUGAGAAAAGGCCCAAAGAAAGCAGGAGGAAGCCACGCCAAUUAGUAUGCGCUACACAGCUUUUUUGCAAAAUGAAUAUAAAACACUUGUGCUUUCUUUUUGUGUGAAAGAAAGACGGGAGGAAAGAGAGGGAGGGAGGGAGGUUACAAGAAAGCAAUAUUCUGCAGGAGCAGGAGUGCCUGCCGUUACCAUGGCGACAGGCGGGGGUGGGGAAGGCCCAUCAGCUGGCCCCUGGUUUCGGCGUGGAGUGAGCUGGCCAUCAGUGGAGUGAAAGGGUCAGGGUGGUUGGCACCUGGAUGUGGGCAGAAUCUCACAGAGCAGCUCUCAGGAGGCCUCAGGGUGAGGGGAGAGGGCUCCUUGCCUUCCAUGGAGGUGAUUUUACACCAGCAAAGGGCAUAUUUCAACAUGGGAGGAGGGUCAGUGUCUGGGUGGGGCCAUCACAGGCUGUGGCCCCACUGCAUUCCAGCGGGAAAGCCUAGUCUCUCUGGGAUGGUGGCUGUUCCCCUCUUCUCUGACUGGUCCACCCAGGCACUCACUGUCCCAACACUUGGUCCCAGACCAGUCCUAAGAGACCUCAGCACGGGAGGCUCCCUGCUCCCACACUCCCCAGGGUGCUGCGGAUGCUUCUUUACAUCCUGGGAACAACUGGGUACUAGACACCAGCUUUGCACGUCAAGUGUCUAGGCCGGAAGGUCCCUUCUCACCUCCUACCAAGAUUCCUGAACAUAAAGUCCCAGGACGAGGCACUCAGCCUAAACUAAAGAAAUACUUGCUGACCUGCAGCGUUGGACAGGAAAUGGAAGACAGAUGGCUCUGAGCAGCUUCUGCCAAGGGGGAUGGAAGGAGAGGCCACCUACUUCACUCUACCCACUUAUCCUUAAGAGACUUUGUCAAAGGUUCACACAGGCCACUGGGCCGCUGAUGAGGUCCUAGAAGUCAACUGACUCAGCUCCUGAAGAGGGAACCCUUCUUGUGUUGACAGGAAAUCCCCAAGCUGGGCCCUCUCCAGGCCUGGCCAGGAAGAAGCUGCAAGAAUGUUUCCAAGGGACACGCUUGGUACUGGCAGGGAGAGGCGAAUUCAGGCUAAAGGCCUUGGAGGUUGAGGUCUUCCCAGUGCAGGCCACUGUCAAAGGCUAUCUGAUGCCUCUGCCCGGAACUGCCAGGUUGCAGGGCCUUGCCUGAGAUCGGGGUCAGGUCCAGCUGCUCCUUCUUGUGAAGCGGAGCUGGUGUUAAGUGCACAGGCCCUGAGGGCAGGCAUGGAUGGAAAACCUCGGGGUCUUCUGCUUCCUUCCACGCAGGAGCCUGGCCCCUUCCUUUGUGAGGGGUGCAGCCAGGCCUCUUUGGUCCCUGACCAUGUAUGGAAUGGCUCCAUCAGCCAGAGAGCUCACCCUAGGAAGCCGGGCUGCUGUGCCCAGGAAGAGUUCCUUGGGGGAGCCAAGGGAAGGACAGCAAGGCUCCCAUUGCUGAGAGCAUGGAAGAAGGCACUGGCACCAGCUGACACCAGGACCAGAGGCCUCCGCCCUGGACGGAAAGUAACCGCGAGCUGCAGAAGGCAGCAAUCGGGCUCGGGCCCUGGCCUGGGAAAGGGGUGGCCUUCUGAGAAAUGCCCCAGUCUGCAUGGGCUCACAGCAGCCCUGCCUUCUGCAACAAGGAAGGAGAGUGUUGCCUAAAAGAAGAACACUUAGAUCUGCUGGCGGGAAACCUGCACUACUUAGGCCUAGACCUAUUUUAUUUCCCACUGAGAAAACCACCCUGAUAGAAAAUGGUUUGUCUUGGUAAAGCAAAAAAAAAAACCUAAAAAAAAAAAUCAUAAAUCUUAGUGUUGUGUGACUUUGAACACAAGCCCUUGGGGAUGAGGACGGCAUUCUCUGUUUAAACAUUUUGCCACCUUUCCUUCAGUGCCCAGCCCUGUGCCACAUAUGCCAGCGGCUGUGCCUAACUUCCACUGAUGAAUAGUGACAGCACUGUGUGGCUCUGGCAGCUGAGGAUACUCUAGCGGCCAUUCCUCUUAGGGUAAAGGAGAAAAGGAAGGCCAGCCUCGGAUAAGACACGGUGGAGACCAGAUCCCUGACCUCUGCCUUCUCUCCCAUCCCCCAAGGUCUCCCCCUCCUUCCAGCUGAUUCCAGCCAUUGCUCACUUGCAUCAUCCUGGGCCCUGACCCAGAGCGUACGUUCUCAGGGUUAUAAAUUCUCCCCUUGAGCUGGGCAGGGAUGGGGCGGUGCCUGCUGCACUGAAGGCAGCAUGAGUGGUGCCACAUACCUGCCAUGGCUCUGUUACCAGGUGAUGAGCCCAGGGGCCAUGGCAGCCAGGAGAGGGCUCCUGCCUCCCUCCAGGGCCCUGCUUCAUUCUGGUUUACUUGCAAGCCACGCACAGCCCCUGAGCUAAGAUGCAGGCUCUACCCCAUAGGCCUAGCUUCCAAUCUGCUGUGGAAGGGCCCAGUGAAGCGGGGCGGGCCCUAGAUGUGGGGUACGCCCAAGGAGAUGAGCUCCUCUUCCAGCCAACCUCUUAUUUGUUCACUUUCUCAGAUAGAUGUUUCUGAGCAUUUACUGUGGGCUGGAUGGACCAUCCUCACAGAGCUCCCACCUAAUGGGCCAUCAUGGAGAGGGAUCGGAGACAUAAAGACAUAGACGGAACCCGGCGUAGCCUUGAUGUGCAGGAGGAGGGGGUGUGUGUGUGACAGACAGACAGACAGAUGGACAGAUAAACUAGGCUUCAUGGAGCACCUAAGUGAGAUCUGGCCCAAGUUAUUUAACUUCCCCCGUUUCCUCUUAGGGGAAAUGGGAAAAACAAUGGGACCUACCCAUGAAGGUUGUCUAAUUGUGAAGAUAAACUAAGAUCACUCACUGGGGCCAAGCACAGAGUCUGGAACAGAGCAGGCCAGUGUGAAAUGCUAGGUCUUGUUAGCAGUGGGGGGACAGGCCCAGUCCUCUGUAUCUCUGGGCUCGCCUGGGCUCACCCAGGCUCACUCAAGCUCCUGCCCAGUCUGCGGGCCUUGUGACUUGCUAACAGGGAGGUGCCUGGGAAAUCUGGCCAAGUCAGCCUUGGCCAUUUCCAGAGGAGGAAAAACCAACAAACGACUUGGAUGAAAUUUUGACUUCUGAGGACACCAGGAAUGCUAAGUGGGGUGAAAAACAGGGGCCCUGGCUUGGCUGCCACACCUAGGGCUGCGUAGAGAGGGCCCCAGAGCUGAGAGCUGGGGGCAUAUGGCCUGCAGUCUCCAAGCAAGAGCUCAUGCUGGUCCGCAUCUGUGCUCCCAAUGAGUGAUGUGCACCAAACCCACCAGGGAGCAUGUGAAAAACACCAGCCCCUGGGCACCCAGGCUCUGCUUGAGGGACAAUUGAGGAAGGCCGGGAAUAGGGCCCAAGCAGCUGGAUUUUAGAAGCUCCAGGGAAUUCUGGUGACAGCCCUGGUUUCAAUGGCUCUGCUGUGUGGCUUGAGAUGGGGCCGGAUAGUGCGCUCAGCCCUGCAGGCAACUCGCCCUACAGCUUGGCUCCAGGAAGAGUGAGCGAGAGGGCCCAACCCUGCCUCAGGGAAAGGCCAGCUACACUGGCUCCCCUUGGCAGGGUUCCUUCUACUGCCAGAGGCACAGCCUCUGGGAGAGCAGCCUACCUUUCUCCCACGGUUCUCAGUCCAACCUCUGCCUUCACCAGGAGCCAGGCGGUACCCUCCCAGCCCCCAAUCCACUCACAGCAGUUACUGUGCCCAGCUCUGGGUCCUCACUGGUCCAUCUGCCCAGGGCAAGGAAUGUGGAGGUGAAUACUCAAACCCUCCUGGCACAGAGCCCUGUCUUCUCUGGAGGGAGGUGGUGAGGCUGUCCGUAGUUACUGGGGUGUGCUCUGGGGUGGCUGCUGUGGGCACUGAAACCACAAGGUGGGAAAAUCUGGAAGAAUGAAGGGUGGGCAGAGGACUUCUUGGUGGAUACAGUUCUGGGACUGCUAUCUUGCCAUUCUCCUCGCUUCCCUAGCAACGAUUUGCUGUCAAGCCUCCUUUGAGAAGACCACAGUCCUCCCUGAAUCCCCAGUGGUGGCUGCUGGCACCUCUGCUGCGGGGCUGUCCCUGAGGAAGAAGACCCAGGACCGUGACUGGAGUCUAGAUGUUUCUCUGGCUGAUGGUGGCUCUUCUCCCUGGCUCAUGGCUCCUUCUCACUUGCUCUCAGAAGCCCCCAGAAAAAGGUGCAGGGACAGCCAUGGGGAGAGGUGAUAGAGGGCAGUGUCCCCUGCCCUCGGCAAGGCCCCAGGAGGAUGCCUUAGGAAGAGGGUCCCCGGGCCAUCAGCGCCCGCCCAGCACCUCUUCCCCUGCAGGCUGGGCUCUUGGCAGGAGGAGUCAAGCUCUCUGGGCACCAACACGGUACCCCUGUUCUCUGGGCUGCAGUUGUACCUUAGUGCGUGAUCUGAGUUUAAAGACAGCCACAGAAUUGAGGUGGGGGUGGAGGGGUGUUUUUGUUUUGGAGAGUGGAUGGAAUGAAAAUUGGAGGGAAGUGAACACUGAGGCACAAAUAGGAGGAAAAACAAGUCCCGUUCUUACGGAAGAAUGUCCGCUUCUAAGCGGUCAGCAUUAGUAUUCCAGGGAGCAGAGUCAGGACCACACAGAUUCAGGGCUGGAAGGGACCUCAGACCAUUCAGUCCAACCCCAGCACUCUGGGAAGAAAACUGAAGUGAGGUGGUGUUGUAUGACCUGCCUGGUCCUGUGGAGAGCAGGCAGAUGAGCCCUGGGACCCAGUUGGCUGACACACCAGACCAUGGUGACAAGGACUGCUUGGGAAGGAUAAGCCCAGGAUCAGGAAAGUAAAUUCAGGCUGCAGGACAGCUGCCUGGGUCCCCCCACAAGUCUGGCACCAGCCCAGGGAAAACCGAGGAGCCUCACUCCAUGGGGCAUGGUGAGCCACAGCACGCUCCCUUCCCCCAACCCAGCCUGGUCCAUUCUCUGCAGUGUGGGCAGGUCUGCUGAUUCACAAGCCGGCUGUCUCAUGGAGAUACAGCUCUGCCCGCAGCUCACAGUGCCUGGGAGCUCGGAAGAGGAAAGUGGGUUGAGGCUCGGCUUAGACCGUCAGCAUCUGACACGCAGCCUGAAGGGCGGGUAUGGACAGAGGAACGGGAUGCUGCCGUGCAAUGAGCAUGCCCGGCUGCAAAUCCUGCCGCUUGGCUGGGAGGCAGGGGAGCCCUGUAAAGGAACACCACGCAAUAGGCACGGCUGAGAAUGGUGUGCAGAAAGGCGUGUGUGACUGCAGAGACUCUUGCCCAGAGGACAGGAGGACCCAAGUGUCCCCUCCACCUCCCAGGCCAGCCUCUGCACUCUGGCUCUCAUGGAGGGUUCUCCUGCUGCCUGGGAUCUGGGUCAGCCUCUCCCUCUGCAGCAGCAGCUCUUGGUGGCCCCCAAAAGGCAAAGCUUAAGAGUCCAAUUUCAAACUAGAGAUCGCGAUGGAGUCCAGCUGAAAUGAGUAACACAACCAGCGCUAACUGAGCGCGCUGCAGGGGCCCGGCAUCGUGCUUAGCAUUUUAUGUGGAUCAUUUUGCUCUUACAUCCCCCGUGGUUACUACCCCCAUCGAUCAGACGAAAACUGAUGCUGAGAUGCGGAGAUACUAAAUGUCUUGCCUUUGGGCAGCCCGACCCCAAGACCAAGCUCCCCACCUGCCCUCUGCCACCUCCCUCACUGACACCCAGCCCCAGGUGCUUCAGAAGGGUCUCCAGUGAUUUUUUUUUUUUUUUUUGAGACAGGGUCUCACUUUGUUGCCUAAGCUGGAGUGCAACGGUACGAUCUUGGCUCACUGCAACCUCUGCCUCCGGGC